UGUGUUGAAGUUUUUAAGGGCACAGGGUGGAUGCCUUGGCAUUAGGAGCCGAUGAAGGACGUUGUAGCCUGCGAUAAGCCUCGGGGAGUUGGCAAACGAACCGUGAUCCGAGGAUGUCCGAAUGGGGAAACCCAGCUGGAGUUAUGUCCAGUUACCCUCAUCUGAAUAUAUAGGGUGAGUGGAGGGAACGUCGGGAAGUGAAACAUCUCAGUACCGGCAGGAAGAGAUAUUCCGUUAGUAGUGGCGAGCGAACGCGGAUCAGGCCAAACCAUGCGCGUGGAAAGUUGUCAGACGUUGCGUGUAUGGGGUUGUGGGACCUUCUGAACCUUACUGACAUGGGGUUAAGGAGUAAGAAAGUUGCGUUGAUAGUCGAACGGUAUUGAAAGACCGACCGUAGAAGGUGGUAGUCCUGUAGACGAAAUCUCGUGGCCUCCUUGAAGGGAUCCCAAGUAGCACCGGGCCCGUGAAAUCCGGUGUGAAUCUGCACAGACCACUGUGUAAGCCUAAAUACUCCCUAAUGACCGAUAGCGGACUAGUACCGUGAGGGAAAGGUGAAAAGUACCCCGGGAGGGGAGUGAAAUAGUACCUGAAACCGUGUGCCUACAAUCCGUCGGAGCCUCCCUAGUUGGGGUGACGGCGUGCCUUUUGAAGAAUGAGCCUGCGAGUUAGUGCUCAGUGGCGAGGUUAACCCGUGUGGGGAAGCCGUAGCGAAAGCGAGUCUGAAUAGGGCGAAUGUAGUCGCUGGGUCUAGACCCGAAGCGGAGUGAUCUAUCCAUGGGCAGGUUGAAGCACUGGUAAGACAGUGUGGAGGACCGAACCCACCUAGGUUGAAAACUGGGGGGAUGACCUGUGGAUAGGGGUGAAAGGCCAAUCAAACUCCGUGAUAGCUGGUUCUCCCCGAAAUGCAUUUAGGUGCAGCGUUGCGUGUUGCUUGCCGGAGGUAGAGCUACUGGAUGGCCGAUGGGCCCUACAAGGUUACUGACGUCAGCCAAACUCCGAAUGCCGGUAAGUGUAAGCGCAGCAGUGAGACUGCGGGGGAUAAGCUUCGUAGUCGAGAGGGAAACAGCCCAGAUCACCGGCUAAGGCCCCUAAGCGUGUGCUAAGUGGGAAAGGAUGUGGAGUUGCUUAGACAACCAGGAGGUUGGCUUAGAAGCAGCCACCCUUGAAAGAGUGCGUAAUAGCUCACUGGUCAAGUGAUUCCGCGCCGAUAAUGUAGCGGGGCUCAAGUACACCGCCGAAGCCGUGACAUCAACGCGUUAGCUAGGCCUUCGUGGUCCAGGUGCGUUGAUGGGUAGGGGAGCGUCGUGUGGGCAGUGAAGCCGCGGGGGAACCCAGUGGUGGAGCCUACACGAGUGAGAAUGCAGGCAUGAGUAGCGAAAGACGGGUGAGAAACCCGUCCGCCGGAUGACUAAGGGUUCCAGGGUCAAGCUAAUCUGCCCUGGGUAAGUCGGGACCUAAGGCGAGGCCGACAGGCGUAGUCGAUGGACAAGCAGUUGAUAUUCUGCUACCGGCGAAGAACCGCCCAUACCGAAUCCAAUGAUACUAACCACCACAACAUUCCUUUGUUCUUCCUUCGGGUUGAAUGUUGGGAUGGCGUGCUGGGACCUGAGUUGGUAGUAGGUAAGCGUAUUAACAGUGGUGACGCAGGAAGGUAGUCUAAGCCUGGCGAUGGUUGACCAGGUCUAAGGUUGUAGGGCGAACGGUAGGCAAAUCCGCCGUUCAUAUGCCUGAGAACUGAUGGGUAACCCCAUAGGGGUGAAGUAGAUGAUCCUAUGCUGCCAAGAAAAGCCACGACGCGAGGUUCCAGCCGCCCGUACCCUAAACCGACUCAGGUAGUCAGGUAGAGAAUACUAAGGCGAUCGAGAUAAUCGUGGUUAAGGAACUCGGCAAAAUGCCCCCGUAACUUCGGGAGAAGGGGGGCCCUAACCGUCAACACCCUAGCGGUGGGCAGCGGAUCAGGGCCGCAGAGACCAGAGAGAAGCGACUGUUUACUAAAAACACAGGUCCGUGCGAAGUCGCAAGACGAUGUAUACGGACUGACGCCUGCCCGGUGCUGGAAGGUUAAGAGGACCGGUUAGCCACCUUGUGUGGCGAAGCUGAGAAUUUAAGCCCCAGUAAACGGCGGUGGUAACUAUAACCAUCCUAAGGUAGCGAAAUUCCUUGUCGGGUAAGUUCCGACCUGCACGAAUGGCGUAACGACUUCUCUACUGUCUCAACCACGAACUCGGCGAAAUUGCACUACGAGUAAAGAUGCUCGUUACGCGCAGCAGGACGGAAAGACCCCGGGACCUUUACUAUAGCUUGGUAUUGGUGUUCGGUCCGGUUUGUGUAGGAUAGGUGGGAGACUUUGAAGCAGCCACGCCAGUGGUUGUGGAGUCAUCGUUGAAAUACCACUCUGACCGGGCUGGGCUCCUAACCUCGGACCAUGAUCUGGUCCAGGGACAGUGCCUGGUGGGUAGUUUAACUGGGGCGGUUGCCUCCCAAAAAGUAACGGAGGCGCUCAAAGGUUCCCUCAGCCUGGUUGGCAAUCAGGUGUUGAGUGUAAGUGCACAAGGGAGCUUGACUGUGAGACUGACAGGUCGAGCAGGGACGAAAGUCGGAACUAGUGAUCCGGCCACGGCAAGUGGAAGCGUGGUCGCUCAACGGAUAAAAGGUACCCCGGGGAUAACAGGCUGAUCUUGCCCAAGAGUCCAUAUCGACGGCAUGGUUUGGCACCUCGAUGUCGGCUCGUCGCAUCCUGGGGCUGGAGUAGGUCCCAAGGGUUGGGCUGUUCGCCCAUUAAAGCGGUACGCGAGCUGGGUUUAGAACGUCGUGAGACAGUUCGGUCCCUAUCCGCUGCGCGCGCAGGAAACUUGAGAAGGGCUGUCCCUAGUACGAGAGGACCGGGACGGACGAACCUCUGGUAUGCCAGUUGUCACGCCAGUGGCACCGCUGGUUAGCUACGUUCGGAAGGGAUAACCGCUGAAAGCAUCUAAGCGGGAAGCCUGCUUCAAGAUAAGGUUUCCAUACCAGUAAUGGUGAGAGGCACCCAGCAGACCACUGGGUAGAUAGGCCGGACGUGGAAGACGGGACUAACGACCGUCGCAGCUGACCGGUACUAAUCAGCCAACAACCUCAA
Molecule: ribosomal RNA, 3118 nt
Filed under: Micrococcales bacterium KH10
Lineage: Bacteria; Bacillati; Actinomycetota; Actinomycetes; Micrococcales
Description: bacterial LSU rRNA
Rfam family: Bacterial large subunit ribosomal RNA
Source: RNAcentral